UUUGUGUUUUUUUCUAUUAUGGUUGAUUUACAAUGUUCCGUCAAUUUCUGAUGUACAGCAAAGUAACACAGUCAUAAAUAUAUAUAUAUAUAUUCUUUUUCUCACAGAAUCCUCCACCCUCCCUCUCUCUCUCUGAGCUCAGAAUUCUCACUCUGGGGAAAUGUAAGCUGCCCUGGGGAGAGGCUUUCAUUAGGAUCUCACAACCAACCAUCUGUGAGAAGCUGAAUCCUGCCGGCCUCCACCUGAGUGGGCUUUGGGAGAAGACCCUUCCGAAUUAGCCUUGAUAUGACCGUACCCCUGGCCAACAUCUUGCCUGCAGUGCUGGGAAAAGUCUUGAGCCAGAGGACUCAGCUGCGCCACACAGAGACUCCUGCCCCACAGAAGUGGGGCAUAAUAAAUGUGCCUUACUAUGAUCAUUAAGCCACUGAGUUUGGGGAUAAUUUGUUACACAGCAACAGAUCCCUGAAACACUGUGAGAAAUGAGGUAAUUAUGUCACCUUACAGUUCCUCUGCUUCCUCCCCUGUAAAAUGGAGAUCAUUAAGAACCCCUUCAUAGGGCAGAGGAAGCAUUUAAAUUCUUAAACGAUGGUAUGGCAUGUACUACCAAACAGCACAACAUUACUGUUUGUUGUUUCUAAUGUCUGUUUCUAAUUAUUUGAUCAUUUUACGGUUAAUGGACUUUAUGUCCUCCUUACUCCACAAGACUGAGGACCCCGCUGCAACGAACCUCGGCGCUGAUCAGUCAGUCCAUCAGUAGAGAGAAAGGAAGGCAUAGUGGGAGCUACUCUCUUGGGCUAAUCCUUGGAGUGGAGUCUGCACAUGUAAGUGUUAAAGAAGAACACCAAAUUGCUUCGUAAAAGACGGAGCAGUUGGAGCUCCACUCUGCUGGCUGGGGUUAACUCUUUCCUCACACAAGCACACCAUCAAUCUUCUUGAUCUUCGUCAAUACAGCAUAUACUCGUCAUGUUAAGUUACAUGGUUUUGCGAAGUGUUGCACUUUUUGGUUGUAUUUGCUUAGUUGGAGCAUCUUUUCAAGAUUGUAUCGGUAAUCUGUACUUAUUCUUUGGCGAAUACUCUGCGUAUAUUCUUUUUUCAUGUAUCUACUGGACAUUCUGCCUUUUUCUUCUUCGUCUGCCAAAGCCCUUUGGGUCCUAAAAAGUGUUUCUAUAUUCUGCUUUACAAAACUCUAUUUUUUGUUGUUGCUCUUGUUUAAAUCAGGAGUAUAUGUUGAAUAUUAUGAGCUAGAUUUUCAUCGUCUAUUGAGAUGAUCACACUUUUUUUCUCCUAUAAAAGUUUUCUGUAGCUUUUAAGGACUUGGUUUCCUAAAUUUCAAAAUUCCUCCUUAUGGAUAAUACACUAUUUUGGGUAAAGAUAAAGAAUAUUACUGGAACUUAAAAGACCAAGGAAAAAGCCUUUAAUUUUUGUUUAAGUGCUUAAAUUUGGUCCAUAGUUUGAAAAUAUGUAAAGAUCACUGGUGCCUUUCUCAAAGUUAACUGCAAAUGUAGGACUUAAAACAUAUUAUCUCUCAGGCAGAAAACCAGGAAACCACAAUGCUAAGGGAUUUACAAAUUAUGUAACACUCUGUUAUGAAACUCUAAAAAUCUAAUGAAAUGCUUUUAGAAUGUGAGAAAGUUAUAGAACUGUUCAUCUCAAAACACAGAUGUUUUCUUAAAAGAAUUUUUGCCAGAAAAAUACUAAAAAAUAUUUGACACAUUUAUCCUAAAGAAUUACAAUGUGAAAUUUAGCUCCACUGCUAAGCUUCCUCAAUUAAAUAGCUGACAGAGAUUAUUUAUUAAUUCAUAUCUAGACUGAGAGAGGCCUCUUCAUUACUGAAAGGACCUACUGGAGACAGAGAUAAAGUGAGAGUGCAGUUGAAGCCCAUUAAAUCUUUUUUUUAAAUCAGGAAAUGAACCUGACUUGAAAGGUUACACCAUUUAUAAAUGUGAUCAUGCUUUUGCUAAAUAGAAUAACAGUGAACCAAUUCAUCCACCAGAAGGACAAUAGUCCCAACAGUUAGUGCUGUUUAAUUUGAGGGGAGUGGACUGGGCCAUGGUUUGAUAGAAUUCCCGGGCAUCUACUUUAGAUUUAUCAUUAUUGCAGAGAAUAAAAUUUAACACGGUGCAGACAAUGUUUCAAAAUUCUGCAACCUUUUUAGCAAAAGGUAAGCACGUUGGGUAAUUAGCUAGAAGAUACACUUCUAGAAACCAGAAGACAUUAAUUAAAAAGCUGUCAGUUUUCUAUGGAUGGUUUGGGUCAAGUGGGGACAAUUUUAAUGCUCCAUUACAUGAAAAAAGAUGUUCAAACAUUAUGUAAGGCACCCACUGAACGAGUGUGUGACCUCAGUUAUUUAUUGAAAAGACGUGUCUAGCAGUACUUUCAAGGACUGAGGGAGUGCGGGUAUGGAAAACGAAUAGCUGAAUGUCACCACGGGACCCCGCUUGGAAGGGAGCUGCAAAUAUGGUCAGAAGUCUUUGCUUGUCUGCAGUGAGAAUCCUUGGCUGAGAGUCCCCAGAUUUGGGUUCUAAUGUUGUCUCUGAAACUUAGGAACUGUGCCCUUGAGCAAGGAGCUAAUUCUCUCUUCAUCCUUGAUUGCAUCACCGUGAAAUGGGAAGAAGAAUCCAUGUACGUACUAUAGAGAUUGUUCACACCCAGGGGACAAGACUGCGUGAAUGCGAGUGGGUGUCAGUGACCACGUACGGGGGCCAGAAGAAGCUGCUCAAUGAGUAUGGGCAGCGUCCCCCAGCGGGGUGCAAGAAGACGGAUUUGGAGAAGAGAAAAGGAGAAAGGGGAUCACUUUCUGCUCCCACAGGCUAAGGCUGUAAGCGAUUCCUUCUCACCAAGGAAUCGACGCCGUCCUUUUCGAGAGGGUGGUGUUUUCCUGAGGAAUGAGCUUGUUUUCCUUGCUUAGGGAGAGGGUGCUCCUUCAUUGAGAAUAGUUGGGGGGUUGAAGGGAGAGAGUGGGGACAAAGACAGGGGAGGGGUGGGACCUGGAGGGAGCAAGUACCCAGAGCAACAGCAGCUGGGAAGGGAACUCCUGAUCUGUGACAGAGGGCUGGGUUCUGGGCGUCCUGUUCCAGAGAAGAACCUUGAAGAGGACAGAAACUUGGGUCCAGCUCCAGGCCAUUCCCAAGGCCAAAGAAAGCAGCUUUCGUAUGGUACAAAAUGUGCACAGCACGUUUUGUCUAUCUGUCCGCAUCGGAUGUUGUCUGUCAACCCUCAGCACUGCUGUUGCACUUCUAAACGCUUCCCUAAACUGCAGGGACCAAAAGCCUAUGGAACACAUUUCCCAGGCUGAUUUGUGGCCAGGUUCUGGUUUAUAUUUCACCAGUGAGAGGCACUUGAACAUGCUGUGGAAGGUGGACGGGAAAUCAUCGUUCGCUUCCAGAAGGCGGAUGUCAAACAUCCGAGUCCCGGGGAGCGAAUGACUGCUUCGGUUCUGCAGCAGCUGUAACCCCGGAUGGGCUCGAGCGCCUGGUUCCUGCUUGUCUCAAGUUCCUGAAAAGUAGCUGAGCUCUUCCCACUCUUCUAAAAAUCUGCAAGCACCUAAUUCGCUGUAUUAAAUUCCUUCUUGAUGGUGUCGUAACUGGCGGCAGAAAAGUUACCUCUUUUGUAAAUUUGUAUAUAAUUAUGUUUCCACUGGGCAAUUCACUUUCUUCUCUUAAUGUCUUUACAUCUGCCCUGAAGAACCCCACCCAAUGGAAACAACUGAACUUAGGUGGUCUAAAUUUGUGCCUGCCCAGGGGUUGUUAGAAUUUGGUGGUCCACUGGUUUAUCACGCUGAUUUCAUGACUUUAACGCUGUACCGAAUCCACAAGGAUCCUUUUAACACCAGCCCCUCACUCACUUAACAGAAAAUGGAACCAUGAACUGACAAGAUUCGGCCCUUGCUGAUGUGACACGCAACACUGGAGGUGGCUUAAGUGGCUAGAGGAUGCUGAUGCCACUACAGCUUUACACUGGGACUGUGGGCUGCUCAGUGUCCCUGCAGUUGAAUCAACCAUACUAGGCCUUCAGCUCCACCUCCCUGGAGUAAGAGGUUCCCAAACAUUUGUCCUCAGUGUGGCUGUCUGUAUCCACAAGAAGACAGCUAGAAAGUUCCUGGGGAAAGACAAUGAGAAAGAGGGAAGACAGAAGAGUGGGGAAAAAGAAGGGAGGGCAGGAUGGACCCCAGGGUCCAUUGCCCUGGUGACUCUACGAAGGCUCGGGGUAACUGCAGUUUCCUCAGUGGAGGGGGGGUGGGGUCUACAGUGGUCCUGAUGCAGCUCCCAGAGCCAGAGACUUCACUUGUUUUAGCCCAGAGAAAGGCCAGCUUUCCAUCCCCAGUGAGUUUUGUUCUAUCAUAAAGGAAGAAAAUAAAACAGGAGUUCCCGUUGUGGCUCAGCAGGUUAGAAUGCAACAUAGUGUCUGUGAGGAUGCUGGUUUGAUCCCCGGCUUCACUCAGUGGGUUAAGGAUCGGGCAUUGCCGUGACUGUGGUGUAGGUUGCAGAUGCAGUAUAGAUCCUGUAUUGCUGUGGCUAUGGUGCAGGCUGGCAGCUGCAGCUCUGAAUGGACCGCUAGCCUGAAACUUCCAUAUGCCGUGGAUGUGGACCCAAAAAGAAAAAAUAAAUAAAUAAAACAAUAUGAUGAACACUCAUCCUUGUUCUGUUUACUAUCCUUUUCCAAGGACUCAUUAUUGCUCAGUGAGACCCACUGUUCCUACCUGGGGAACAGAUAGGCAGAGGGGCUUUUGCUGUACCUGAGCAAGCCACAUCUGACCCUGAGGUUGGGUUUACUUUCACCUCUCAUAUCACAGGGAGGUGUUGCUUUCUUCUCCUUUUACAUUCUUUGAGCUGUUUCCCUGUAUUGAUUCAAGAUUCACAGCUUGUCAUGUAUUUGUGGACUGGUGGGGAAUGAGGAACACGGGACAACAACUGAGACUUGAUAGCCUGGAUAAGCCCAGUGCACGAGUUUGGAGCAGGUGUUGCUGGAGAGACCCAGCAGGUCGGCUGCAGGUCCAGCAAACCAGUGGAUGGAAUAGGUUGGACACGUGGGGAUAGAGGGUGGGGGCAUCUUAAUAAAUGCAGAGAGUGACAGUGGUGAGUCCAGGAGCAGGCAUGGUUAGAGCUCUGGGUGGUAUGAGACAGACAGGCAGGCGGGGAGGUGGGACAGUGGGUGGGUAGGGCCAGGAUUAGAUGGCUGAUCCCAAGCAGGUGAUCAAGGCAGAGAUCCAGUUUCCAGAAGAGGGGUGUUAAGGCAACACCCAAUCUUAGCAAAGGCUGUGAGCUAGAAUUCUGAAAUCAGAGUGGAAGUAGCCAUGAGGGUAAAGAAAUGAAGCUAAAUGCCUUGGCUACUGGACCAAGAUGGAGGGUCAGGCUUGAUGUCAGGAGCAGAUGAAACCGGCAAGGAUAUGGUGAAGAGGAUUAAGGGACCACGGAGGGAACUCUGGGGGACCAGAGAACCAAGGACCUUCCUGACUGGGCCACAUGUACCUCCCUAACUCCUGAGUUAUUUCAAUAUGAAACUUCCCACUUUGCUAGAGGGAAACAGGAGCAAAUUCACUUCAGGGAGUUCCCUUGGUCUCUUGAUUGUCUGCCCCCAUCCAGACUUAUCCUUUGAGUGGAAAGUGGGGUAUCUGCAGUGUGGGCCAUCUCUUGAUGGCCGGGGAAGAGUUGGCCUCGGUCAAUUCAAUAGGGAGGUCUGAAAUUGGUGUUGGAAAAAAAUAUGUCCUAGAAUUAACAUGCUCGAGGACUUGGGCUGGUCCCAUGCUGCGUGUUCUUCAUGGCACUUGGAAACAUAGGCCUUGGGGACUGUAGAGGGUCCUGGGACAUCACCUUGUCCUUGGGAGAGAAGGUGUGAGCAGGACCAAGGUGACACAUUCCAAGGCAAACCCUUGGGGUAGGAGGAGGCUCCAGAUGUGUCACCUGAGCAGCCUCACCAGAUGUACUGAGCCCACAAUUGCUUCUCAGUCUAUAAUUGAGCAAAUUGCAUGGAAAUUUGCAGAAAACUGCUGCAAAUCUCAGACUUUUUUCCUUACAGAUUUCUAAUCCAAAGACUCGGGUCCCUGUUGGCCCCACAAAGAGUCUAUAGCUUCUGCUAAGAAACCAUGUGAACAUAAAGUGGAUCCUUUCCCAGCUGAGCCUUCAAAUGAGAUCAAGCCCUGGCCAACAAGUGCAGUUUUGUGAGAGAUUCUAAAACCCAGCACUGAGCUAAGAUGUGCCCAGGCUCCUAACCCACAGAAGCCACGACAUAAUAAAUGUAUAUUAUUAAGUUGCUAAAAGAAAAGAAAAGAUUCUAUGGCAGGAUGGGAAGGUUUUGGAAGGUGGGUUGACACCAAGCGGAAGAGGACACUUCUGAGACCCUGGGGGGUAAGGGACAGCCAGGACCUCAGGUAGAAUGCAGCUUGUGGGUACAGAAGGACAACCUCCAAUAGUUUCUCGCAGACGGAGGGAGAUUCCUGAGCAAAAGCAAAACUGUUAUGCACCAAAUAGGGGUGGAGGCUUGGAUGUCUCCUGGGAAAACCGGAGUUGAGGAAACUUUGGUCUCAUGGGAAUGUGUUACAGCUAAGAGUAGGAAGGGCACGCGGAGGGGGGUGAGAGGAGGCAGCAGG
RNAcentral lists this long non-coding RNA (6586 nucleotides) under Sus scrofa (pig). RNAcentral's name for it is "lncRNA (ENSSSCG00040019134.1)". Lineage: Eukaryota; Metazoa; Chordata; Mammalia; Artiodactyla; Suidae. The record is from RNAcentral.